GCAGGUGUGGUGUAAUGGUACACUGCUGUAUAUCAUGUUACAAUUGUGCCUAAACUCCCAACAGCAGACCUGGGUUCGACUCCCGGCGCCCGCA
Non-coding RNA from Mycena haematopus, 94 nucleotides. Lineage: Eukaryota; Fungi; Basidiomycota; Agaricomycetes; Agaricales; Mycenaceae. The record is from the annotation of a GenBank genome assembly.